GGUCGGUUUGCCGAGUGGUUAGGCGCUGGUCUGCAAAACCAGUUACAGCGGUUCGAAUCCGCUACCGACCUCCU
Molecule: transfer RNA, 74 nt
Filed under: Bacteroides sp.
Lineage: Bacteria; Pseudomonadati; Bacteroidota; Bacteroidia; Bacteroidales; Bacteroidaceae
Description: tRNA-Cys
Rfam family: tRNA
About the family: Transfer RNA (tRNA) molecules are approximately 80 nucleotides in length.
Source: RNAcentral